RNAcentral lists this ribosomal RNA (396 nucleotides) under uncultured Pelagibacterales bacterium. RNAcentral describes it as "bacterial SSU rRNA". It matches the Rfam family "Bacterial small subunit ribosomal RNA", at positions 1130 to 1533 of the family's 1533-position model. Lineage: Bacteria; Pseudomonadati; Pseudomonadota; Alphaproteobacteria; Candidatus Pelagibacterales. The record is from RNAcentral.
UUUGGGCACUCUGAAAGAACUGCCAGUGAUAAGCUGGAGGAAGGUGGGGAUGACGUCAAGUCCUCAUGGCCCUUAUGUGUUGGGCUACACACGUGCUACAAUGGCAUUUACAACAGGAAGCAAGAUGGCGACAUCAAGCAAAUCCCAAAAAAAUGCCUCAGUUCGGAUUGUGCUCUGCAACUCGAGUACAUGAAGCUGGAAUUACUAGUAAUCGUGGAUCAGCGUGCCACGGUGAAUGCGUCCCCGGGUCUUGUACACACCGCCCGUCACACCAUGGGAGUUGGUUCUACCUUAAGGCAAGGUUUAAUACCCUUGACCACGGGUAUAGUCAGCGACUGGGGUGAAGUCGUAACAAGGUAGCCGUAGGGGAACCUGCGGCUGGAUUACCUCCUUUCU